AAUAUUGCGCAAUGGACGGAAGUCUGACGCAGCGACGCCGCGUGAGCGAUGAAGGCCUUCGGGUCGUAAAGCUCUGUCCUUGGGGAAGAAGGUCUUCGGACUUGACGGUACCCAAGAAGAACGCCCCGGCUAACUACGUGCACGCAGCCGCGGUAAGACGUAGGGGGCGAGCGUUGUCGGGAAUUACUGGGCGUAAAGGGUGCGUAGGAUGCCAUUUAAGUCAGAUGUGAAAGGACAUGGGUUAACCGAGGGAUUGAAUUUGAAACUGGAGGGCUUGAGGGUCGGAGAAGGUAGUGGAAUUCCCAGUGUAGCGGUGAAAUGCGUAGAUAUUGGGAGGAACACAAGUGGCGAAGGCGACUACAUGGACGAUAACUGACGCUGAGGCACGAAAGCUAGGGGAGCAAAC
This 406-nucleotide ribosomal RNA is filed under the name uncultured bacterium. RNAcentral describes it as "partial 16S ribosomal RNA". It matches the Rfam family "Bacterial small subunit ribosomal RNA", at positions 360 to 773 of the family's 1533-position model. The record is from RNAcentral.